RNAcentral lists this ribosomal RNA (446 nucleotides) under uncultured bacterium. Its description in RNAcentral is "partial 16S ribosomal RNA". It matches the Rfam family "Bacterial small subunit ribosomal RNA", at positions 338 to 795 of the family's 1533-position model. The record is from RNAcentral.
CCUACGGGCGGCAGCAGUCGAGAAUCAUUCACAAUGGGGGAAACCCUGAUGGUGCGACGCCGCGUGGGGGAAUGAAGGUCUUCGGAUUGUAAACCCCUGUCAUGUGGGCGCAAAUUAAAAAGAUAGUACCACAAGAGGAAGAGACGGCUAACUCUGUGCCAGCAGCCGCGGUAAUACAGAGGUCUCAAGCGUUGUUCGGAAUCACUGGGCGUAAAGCGUGCGUAGGCUGUUUCGUAAGUCGUGUGUGAAAGGCGCGGGCUCAACCCGCGGACGGCACAUGAUACUGCAAGACUAGAGUAAUGGAGGGGGAACCGGAAUUCUCGGUGUAGCAGUGAAAUGCGUAGAUAUCGAGAGGAACACUCGUGGCGAAGGCGGGUUACUGGACAUUAACUGACGCUGAGGCACGAAGGCCAGGGGAGCGAAAGGGAUUAGAUACCCGGGUAGUC